GAUGAACGCUGGCGGUACGCCUAACACAUGCAAGUCGAACGAACUUUUUUGAACUUUAAUCUCGAAACUUUCGUAGUCUCAAGAUACGAAGCUCAAAAUCGUUAGUGGCGGACGGGUGAGUAACACGUUGGAACCUGCCCCGAAGAGGGGGAUAACUACCCGAAAGGGUGGCUAAUACCCCAUAUACUCCGAUUUAUUCGGAGGAAAGCUUUUGCGCUUCGGGAGGGGCCUGCGUAACAUUAGCUUGUUG
RNAcentral lists this ribosomal RNA (250 nucleotides) under uncultured bacterium. RNAcentral describes it as "partial 16S ribosomal RNA". It matches the Rfam family "Bacterial small subunit ribosomal RNA", at positions 28 to 251 of the family's 1533-position model. The record is from RNAcentral.